AGAGUUUGAUCCUGGCUCAGGACGAACGCUGACGGUGUGCUUUAGGCAUGCAAGUCGAACGAGAAAGCCCUUCGGGGUGAGUAAAGUGGCGAACGGGUGAGUAACACGUGGGCAACCUGCCCCUCGCAGGGGGACAACCGGAGGAAACUCCGGCUAAUACCCCGUAAGCUCUACACGCCGCAUGGCGAGUAGAGGAAAGGUAGCUUCGGCCAUCCGGCGAGGGAUGGGCCCGCGGUGCAUUAGCUAGUUGGUGGGGUAACGGCCCACCAAGGCGACGAUGCGUAGCUGGUCUGAGAGGAUGAUCAGCCACACUGGGACUGAGACACGGCCCAGACUCCUACGGGAGGCAGCAGCCAGGAAUCUUGGGCAAUGGGCGAAAGCCUGACCCAGCAACACCGUGUGGGUGAUGAAGGCCUUCGGGUCGUAAAGCCCUGUUGAUAGGGACGAAGGGCGAAGGGUUAAUAGCCCGGAGCUUGACGGUACCUUUCGAGGAAGCCCCGGCUAACUACGUGCCAGCAGCCGCGGUAAUACGUAGGGGGCGAGCGUUGUCCGGAAUUAUUGGGCGUAAAGAGCGUGUAGGCGGUUCGGUAAGUCUGUCGUGAAAUCCUGGGGCUCAACCCUGGGCGUGCGAUGGAUACUGCCGGGCUAGAGGGUGGUAGAGGCGAGUGGAAUUCCCGGUGUAGCGGUGAAAUGCGCAGAUAUCGGGAGGAACACCAGUAGCGAAGGCGGCUCGCUGGGCCACACCUGACGCUGAGACGCGAAAGCUAGGGGAGCGAACAGGAUUAGAUACCCCAGUAGUCC
RNAcentral lists this ribosomal RNA (801 nucleotides) under uncultured Rubrobacter sp. Its description in RNAcentral is "bacterial SSU rRNA". It matches the Rfam family "Bacterial small subunit ribosomal RNA", at positions 8 to 796 of the family's 1533-position model. The record is from RNAcentral. Lineage: Bacteria; Bacillati; Actinomycetota; Rubrobacteria; Rubrobacterales; Rubrobacteraceae.